CUACGGGAUGCAGCAGUGAGGAAUAUUGCACAAUGGGGGGAACCCUGAUGCAGCAACGCCGCGUGGAGGAUGACGCAUUUCGGUGUGUAAACUCCUUUUAUAUGUCAAGAAAAUGACGGUAGCAUAUGAAUAAGCACCGGCUAACUCCGUGCCAGCAGGCCGCGGUAAUACGGAGGGUGCAAGCGUUACUCGGAAUCACUGGGCGUAAAGGACGCGUAGGCGGGUUGGAAAGUCAGGUGUGAAAUCCUACAGCCUAACUGUAGAACUGCACUUGAAACUUCUAAUCUAGAGUAUGGGAGGGGGAGAUGGAAUUAGUGGUGUAGGGGUAAAAUCCGUAGAUAUCACUAGGAAUACCUAAAGCGAAGGCGAUCUCCUAGAACAUUACUGACGCUAAGGCGUGAAAGCGUGGGGAGCAAACAGGAUUAGAUACCCCAGUAGUC
Molecule: ribosomal RNA, 440 nt
Filed under: uncultured bacterium
Lineage: Bacteria
Description: partial 16S ribosomal RNA
Rfam family: Bacterial small subunit ribosomal RNA
Source: RNAcentral